AACCCCAGUACAUUGAUUUAUAUCAGCUGUAGCGCUGGGCCACAUUCCCAGCUUAUCUUCAGCCCCCUUGGUUCAAGGAGUCAGUCAUGGUGCGACCUCUGCCACUCAUAGGUUUUCCCGUAUCUGCUACCCAAGGCGAGGCAGAAGUUGCCUUUGUUUCUGCUUUUGUGAGCCCUGUUUGGCCUGGGAAAGAGAGAUCUGACCCUGCAGGAAAGCAGCUCAGUAGCACUGUGUCUGAAGAACAAGGGGUGGCAACGUCAGGAGCUAAGAAUCUGGCCAGGGCUGGUUCAACGCAAGGAUGCUCUUAGGAUUUCGUCGGCCUCUGUGGUACUCUUCCUACUUACUACACAUGCUCUUGAAAUAUGAGAGGACUAGACACUAUGAUAACAAUGUCUAAAGACAAAAAGAGCCCAGACUAAAUAUUUAAGAAUCUACAGCACGUCAUCCAUGUGAAUAUUAUGUUUCCCCCUCUUCAUUUCACUACACCAGUCCUGUCAUACAAAGUCCAUAUGUGUUCAGCUCCAUUUUCUACAGCUGAUAAACUUUCUCACAGAUCACGGGAAUAAAUGGCCUAUAUAUUUAAUUUUUAAAAUUUUGUUUUGUAUUUUCACACUUUGUUGUGCCUGCACAGACAUUUUAAUGGGCAGUCGGCAGGGCCGUAUCAUGAGUGGUCAAUAAGCCAAAUGAAUAGCGCUGGAGUGCCCCCUGGUUUAUAGGUGUUUUACUCCUUUUUAGCUUGGCUGUAGAAACCUAAGGUACAGAUUUGAGAGAGCCAGAGAGGCGGUAGAUUAUAGCACAUAAAGGCCUGAUGUUGGAGCCAAACUUUCUAGAUUCAAAUCCCGUGUAGAUUUUUACUAGAUGCACAAUGUUGGUGACCUUGGAUAUGAUUUUUACGUUUUUCUGGGGCGCAGUUUCUUCAUCUGUAAAAUGACGUCAUUGAGAGUAUGCAAUAAAGUGAUGUAGAUGCAGCAUUUAGAACAACACCUGUCACAGACUAACACUAUAGGUCUAUUGCUGUCUUUGAAGACCAAGGGUAUAACCUUACACAAUUGCUUUGAAAUCUGCGCUUGGCAUUUUUUUGUUACACCUUGAUCAUACGCACAGCAACAGAAGCCAAAGGUAUAUGCCUUUCUUAGUAAGUUUUAAAGUGAUACUGAGGAUUAUAAAAAUGAAUAAAUGUUAAAUACUGUGGUUUAUUCACCUGGUUGUAAACUUCCCUAUCAUUGAGUGAUAAAGCAGUUACGAAUCUACUGACUCAAUAUGGUUGUUUACAUCAAAACCACGUUCAUGAUCAAUCAAGACACCAUGUGUUUUCUUUGUUUUUUGUUAUUGUUUUUUGGUGAAGAAGCUUGGCCCUGAGCUAACACUCGUUGCCAAUCUUCCUCUUUAUGCUUGAGGAAGAUUGGCCCUGAGCUAACAUCUGUGCCAAUCUUCCUCUAUUUAAUGUGAGAUGCCGUCACAGUCGUGGCUUGAUGAGCAGUUCUAGGUCUGUGCCCGAGAUCUGAGCCUGCUAACCCCGGGCCGUUGAAGUGGAGCAUGCACACUUAACCAGUAUGCCACGGGGCUGGCUGCAAGAGACCAUGUGUUUUAGUUUAAAAAUAUUGAAACAUGGAAGUCAAGUAUCUAAUUUUUAAAGACUUUGUUGUCAGUUUAGCAAAGCUCAUCUCCCAGGGUGGUCAGAUUUGGUUUGCAAUUAUUAUGACAAAUGGUGCUGAGUGGUCUGAAAGCAAAAUAAGUGGCUUUCUUUAAACGUUUUUUCUGUGAUCUUCCUGUCUUUUAUUUAUUUGGCACACUUUAUCUUUUUAAAAAAUUUUUACCGUGUUUAACACUUUUCCUUGGGUCCCUAGACUUUGCUGCUCUUGAUGGCAGUGGUCCAAAAAGAUGAAAAAUGCAGACGUGAUCUCUAAAACAGUGAAGUUACAAGCUUGUAUGUAUUGUUUUUGAGGUCUAACAG
Molecule: long non-coding RNA, 1954 nt
Organism: Equus caballus (horse)
Lineage: Eukaryota; Metazoa; Chordata; Mammalia; Perissodactyla; Equidae
Source: Ensembl